GACGGAGGGUGCUAGCGUUGUUCGGAAUCACUGGGCGUAAAGGGCGCGUAGGCGGUGCAUUUGGUCAGGCGUGAAAUUCCUGGGCUUAACCUGGGGACUGCGCUUGAGACGGGUGUGCUGGAGGGCAGGAGAGGCUCGCGGAAUUCCCAGUGUAGAGGUGAAAUUCGUAGAUAUUGGGAGGAACACCAGUGGCGAAGGCGGCUCACUGGUCCAUUACUGACGCUGAGGUGCGAAAGCGUGGGGAGCAAACAGG
Molecule: ribosomal RNA, 253 nt
Filed under: uncultured bacterium
Lineage: Bacteria
Description: partial 16S ribosomal RNA
Rfam family: Bacterial small subunit ribosomal RNA
Source: RNAcentral